This 446-nucleotide ribosomal RNA is filed under the name uncultured bacterium. RNAcentral describes it as "bacterial SSU rRNA". It matches the Rfam family "Bacterial small subunit ribosomal RNA", at positions 329 to 792 of the family's 1533-position model. The record is from RNAcentral.
UACCAGACUCCUACGGGAGGCAGCAGUGGGGAAUAUUGCACAAUGGGGGAAACCCUGAUGCAGCAACGCCGCGUGAGUGAAGAAGUCAUUCGUGAUGUAAAGCUCUAUCAGCAGGGAAGAAAAUGACGGUACCUGAGUAAGAAGCCCCGGCUAACUACGUGCCAGCAGCCGCGGUAAUACGUAGGGGGCAAGCGUUAUCCGGAUUUACUGGGUGUAAAGGGAGCGUAGACGGCGAUGCAAGUCAGAAGUGAAAGCCCGGGGCUCAACUCCGGGACUGCUUUUGAAACUGUGUGACUGGAGUGCAGGAGAGGUAAGCGGAAUUCCUGGUGUAGCGGUGAAAUCCGUAGAUAUCUGGAGGAACAUCAGUGGCGAAGGCGACUAUCUGGCACAUAACUGACGCUGAGGAGCGAAAGCGUGGGUAGCAAACAGGAUUAGAUACCCGCGUA